ACUUCGGGUCCAGACUGGGCUGU
Molecule: unclassified non-coding RNA, 23 nt
Filed under: Mus musculus (house mouse)
Lineage: Eukaryota; Metazoa; Chordata; Mammalia; Rodentia; Muridae
Description: oocyte_clustered_small_RNA161
Source: RNAcentral